AGACCCGAAACCCGGUGAUCUAGCCAUGGGCAGGUUGAAGGUUGGGUAACACUAACUGGAGGACCGAACCGACUAAUGUUGAAAAAUUAGCGGAUGACCUGUGGCUGGGGGUGAAAGGCCAAUCAAACCGGGAGAUAGCUGGUUCUCCCCGAAAGCUAUUUAGGUAGCGCCUCGUGAAUUCAUCUCCGGGGGUAGAGCACUGUUUCGGCUAGGGGGCCAUCCCGGCUUACCAACCCGAUGCAAACUGCGAAUACCGGAGAAUGUUAUCACGGGAGACACACGGCGGGUGCUAACGUCCGUCGUGAAGAGGGAAACAACCCAGACCGCCAGCUAAGGUCCCAAAGUCAUGGUUAAGUGGGAAACGAUGUGGGAAGGCCCAGACAGCCAGGAUGUUGGCUUAGAAGCAGCCAUCAUUUAAAGAAAGCGUAAUAGCUCACUGGUCGAGUCGGCCUGCGCGGAAGAUGUAACGGGGCUAAACCAUGCACCGAAGCUGCGGCAGCGAACGUAUCACCCAAGACAACUUUACGGAGUUGACGAUUGACGGAGCGAAGCGACGUCAAAGCGUUCAUUAAAGUCGAGUUGGCUUAGGGAUACGUUCGUUGGGUAGGGGAGCGUUCUGUAAGCCUGUGAAGGUGUGUCGUGAGGCAUGCUGGAGGUAUCAGAAGUGCGAAUGCUGACAUAAGUAACGAUAAAGCGGGUGAAAAGCCCGCUCGCCGGAAGACCAAGGGUUCCUGUCCAACGUUAAUCGGGGCAGGGUGAGUCGACCCCUAAGGCGAGGCCGAAAGGCGUAGUCGAUGGGAAACGGGUUAAUAUUCCCGUACUUGGUGUUACUGCGAAGGGGGGACGGAGAAGGCUAUGUUGGCCGGGCGACGGUUGUCCCGGUUUAAGCGUGUAGGUGUGUGUUCCAGGUAAAUCCGGUUCACUUUAACACUGAGGCGUGAUGACGAGGCACUACGGUGCUGAAGCAACAAAUGCCCUGCUUCCAGGAAAAGCCUCUAAGCAUCAGGUAACAUCAAAUCGUACCCCAAACCGACACAGGUGGUCAGGUAGAGAAUACCAAGGCGCUUGAGAGAACUCGGGUGAAGGAACUAGGCAAAAUGGUGCCGUAACUUCGGGAGAAGGCACGCUGACACGUAGGUGAAGUGAUUUACUCACGGAGCUGAAGUCAGUCGAAGAUACCAGCUGGCUGCAACUGUUUAUUAAAAACACAGCACUGUGCAAACACGAAAGUGGACGUAUACGGUGUGACGCCUGCCCGGUGCCGGAAGGUUAAUUGAUGGGGUCAGCGCAAGCGAAGCUCCUGAUCGAAGCCCCGGUAAACGGCGGCCGUAACUAUAACGGUCCUAAGGUAGCGAAAUUCCUUGUCGGGUAAGUUCCGACCUGCACGAAUGGCGUAAUGAUGGCCAGGCUGUCUCCACCCGAGACUCAGUGAAAUUGAACUCGCUGUGAAGAUGCAGUGUACCCGCGGCAAGACGGAAAGACCCCGUGAACCUUUACUAUAGCUUGACACUGAACAUUGAGCCUUGAUGUGUAGGAUAGGUGGGAGGCUUUGAAGUGUGGACGCCAGUCUGCAUGGAGCCGACCUUGAAAUACCACCCUUUAAUGUUUGAUGUUCUAACGUGGACCCGUAAUCCGGGUUGCGGACAGUGUCUGGUGGGUAGUUUGACUGGGGCGGUCUCCUCCUAAAGAGUAACGGAGGAGCACGAAGGUUGGCUAAUCCUGGUCGGACAUCAGGAGGUUAGUGCAAUGGCAUAAGCCAGCUUGACUGCGAGCGUGACGGCGCGAGCAGGUGCGAAAGCAGGUCAUAGUGAUCCGGUGGUUCUGAAUGGAAGGGCCAUCGCUCAACGGAUAAAAGGUACUCCGGGGAUAACAGGCUGAUACCGCCCAAGAGUUCAUAUCGACGGCGGUGUUUGGCACCUCGAUGUCGGCUCAUCACAUCCUGG
Molecule: ribosomal RNA, 1943 nt
Filed under: Salmonella enterica
Lineage: Bacteria; Pseudomonadati; Pseudomonadota; Gammaproteobacteria; Enterobacterales; Enterobacteriaceae
Description: partial 23S ribosomal RNA
Rfam family: Bacterial large subunit ribosomal RNA
Source: RNAcentral